CACAAAGGCUUGGUCCUGACUUUGCCAUCAGCUCUAACUAAACUUACACAUGCAAGUAUCCGCACCCCCGUGAGAAUGCCCUUGUGCUUCCUGGAUGGAAACAAGGAGCCGGUAUCAGGCACAAUCUCCUAGCCCAUGACGCCUUGCUAAGCCACACCCUCAAGGGAAUUCAGCAGUGACAAAUAUUAAGCCAUGAGUGAAAACUUGACUUAGUUAAUGUUAACAGGGCCGGUAAACCUCGUGCCAGCCACCGCGGUUAUACGAGGGACCCAAGUCGAUGGCCCACGGCGUAAAGAGUGGUUAAGAUUUGACAACAACUAAAGCUAAAAAGCUUCAAAGCUGUUAUACGCGCAUGAAGACAUGAGACCCAAUUACGAAAGUAGCUUUAAACUUCUGAACCCACGAAAGCUAUGGUACAAACUGGGAUUAGAUACCCCACUAUGCUUAGCCCUAAACUGAGAUAAACACCUUACUUAACUUAUCCGCCCGGGUACUACGAGCACCAGCUUGAAACCCAAAGGACUUGGCGGUGCUUUAGAUCCACCUAGAGGAGCCUGUUCUAGAACCGAUAAUCCCCGUUAAACCUCACCUUUCCUUGUCAUAUUCCGCCUAUAUACCGCCGUCGUCAGCUUACUCUGUGAAGAUCUUGAAGUAGGCACAACCGGCACAGCCUCAAACGCCAGGUCGAGGUGUAGCGAAUGGAAGGGGAAGAAAUGGGCUACAUUCAAUACCAGUAUUGAAUACGAAUGAUGUCCUGAAAAGGACACCUGAAGGAGGAUUUAGCAGUAAGCAGAGAAUAGAGUGCCCUGCUGAAACUGGCCCUGAAGCGCGUACACACCGCCCGUCACUCUCCCCGAGCUAAUGUAGCACCCAUUACUAAUAAACGAAACCUGCAAAGGGGAGGCAAGUCGUAACAUGGUAAGCGUACCGGAAGGUGCGCUUG
This 943-nucleotide non-coding RNA is filed under the name Pseudojuloides cerasinus (smalltail pencil wrasse). RNAcentral describes it as "partial 12S ribosomal RNA". It matches the Rfam family "Bacterial small subunit ribosomal RNA". The record is from RNAcentral. Lineage: Eukaryota; Metazoa; Chordata; Actinopteri; Labriformes; Labridae.